This 406-nucleotide ribosomal RNA is filed under the name uncultured bacterium. RNAcentral describes it as "partial 16S ribosomal RNA". It matches the Rfam family "Bacterial small subunit ribosomal RNA", at positions 29 to 526 of the family's 1533-position model. The record is from RNAcentral.
AUCGAACGCUGGCGGCAGGCCUAACACAUGCAAGUCGAACGAGUGGCGGACGGGUGAGUAAUGUCUGGGAAACUGCCCGAUGGAGGGGGCUAACUACUGUAAACGGUAGCUAAUACCGCAUACCCACAGAUGUGCCAAGAUGGGAUUAGCUAGUCGGUGGGGUAACGGUUCACCUAGGCGACGAUCCCUAGCUGGUCUGCGAGGAUGACCAGCCACACUGGAACUGAGACACGGUCCAGAAUCCGACGGGAGGCAGAAGUGGGGAAUAUGGCACAAUGGGCGCAAGCCUGAUGCAGCAAUGCCGCGUGUAGGAAGAAGGCCGUCGGGUUGUAAAGUACUGUCAGCAGGGAGGCGUUAUCCGCAGAAGAAGCACCGGCUAACUCCGUGCCAGCAGCCGCGGUAAUUC